UUCACUUUCUGCUCCUCAGUCUGUGUUUCAAGCUCCUCUGUCUUCAUUCACCCUUGAGCAGUGCCUGGCCAGAACAGGUUUUGAUCACCAGAGCCCUAAACUCUAUAACCUUAGUGAGCAGACAGAUUAAGAUGGGCUGAGAGCUGUUCAAACCUUCCAUUGCCCCCUCCACUACUUGUCACCCUUAUUUCUAAAAGAAAAAUCGAAGCAUGCCGUGCUAGGGCCCUUUUGCUUUAAAAUGCCAACAGGAGGUGAACACAGUAGGGACUCCCCGCUAACUCCAACUUCUCCCUGCUGCCCCGCUGCUGGUAACGGGAACCUGAAAGCAAUUCAUCACAGUAAUGACAGCUGAUGCCAGACACCCGGUGACUGAUGGCCACGCUACCUGAAGCACGUCUGCCCAGCUCUCUCUUUCACUAGAGUAAUUAUUCGGGGUUGGUGGAGAUGGGGGUGGCUAACUCAACUUUGCACCUGCCCUGAGGCAGGAGAAUCAAAAAGAGACAGAAACUAAUGGCUGCAAGAGCUCAUAGAGAAGAUGGGAAAUCUGUCCGUUUAGAAAGGCAGCUCACCCCUGCAUUUCUAAUGGACUCUGGCAUACCCUCUCUGGGAAAAAAAAAAAUCUGGAAAGGCGGAUCGAUGCCAGGUGAGCUGUGUGGAAGCAGCAAGUCAAGAAGAGGCUUUUCCAUGCCCACUGCCCUGGCAGACCAAGAGGAAGGACACGGGACUGCAGCAAGAUGGAUGGAGGCUCUACGGACUUCUCCAGAUGAACCUCACUAAGAAGCCCUCAGGGGGCUGGAGGUUGCCACAACUGCAAGCUGCCCUCAUUGCAUCUUUGCUCGAGGCUCCUGGGGCUCCAGGGUCAGGAUCUCCUUACCAUGACAUUCCCUAGCUUCCUGAACUGGCCUAUCUCCACCUCUGCUCUCCUGAAGCCAUAGUAGGCUACUGGAAUUACGAUUUUCACACAGAUCAUUUCUAGUGCAUUUUGCUGACCCACCAACAGUCUACCUGGAGAGGGGAGUCCUCCUCAGGACCCAGCAUGGAAGUCACUGGCUGUCUUUCCUGUCCCACCCCCAGCAGCCUGCCUCCCCUCCACACUGGCUACAGAUUCUCAGACCUUGUCCAAAGUUUGCGUUCAAGAAAAGUCCCCUCACCCUCCUGCACUCUGACAUGCGCCCCACGUGGGGCUUCCUCAGCAGUGAGGAGAGCCCGAGGGGGAGGAACCAGGACCCCAGGGAAGCUGAAUGAGAAAAACCCAGGAUGCUCUCCCCUUCAGUCGCUCCCACAGGGAGCGAGGAUGUAUGUAGCUCAGGGCUGAAGCACCUGCCCAGCAUGCAGAAAGUCCUGGGUUCUGUCCCUCACAG
This is a long non-coding RNA of Mus musculus (house mouse), 1361 nucleotides long. RefSeq annotates it as predicted gene, 41954. The transcript has 3 exons. The record is from RefSeq and is a predicted model, not a curated record. Lineage: Eukaryota; Metazoa; Chordata; Mammalia; Rodentia; Muridae.